AUGGUCGUCCUAGGGGACAAGACUCCAGAGGUUUGUCGAUUAAGGGUCAAGACUGGCUUAUUCUUGGGGAACAAAACCAAAAGCGGUCGAGGAGAGGCUACGCUCGAGCCAGUAGGACAAACGCCUCCAGAGAUGGAGUGGAAACUGGAGCGCGCCGCCCGGAGGAGGGUCCGCACUGAAGAAGAGAUUCUGUGGGAGGAUGUCAUGCGGGUGCUCGACAAAGACAUGAAGCAGAGGAGAGGUCAAGUUUCUCCCAAGGUAUUUAAUGUAGUUAACACUACAUACUCUAACUUCACCAGCCACUUGGCAAAGAGACUAUCAGCUGAAGUUCCUGUUGCCAGUAGCCCGAUUACCGCAAGAUGGCGGCAGAGCCAAGCUGGGGAUGUGGCAGCCCCUUCCUUUGGGGAAGAGCGUUCAACUACUGACCUCCCUGAAACUGUGCUGAAGAUGACUCCUGAGAAAGAGACCUUAACUCCAGGAUCCUGCAAGGAACCACUGAAGACCCCCAACAAAGAAAGUUCUGGGACAAAUAACUCUGCUUUCCAGUUUGGCAAGGCACCUCAUGCAGUGGAUAGAGGCCGGAAGGAUAAAGUUGCUUCAAAAGACCUGAAAUGCUUAAACCAGCUAUUUUCAACCCAGAACGUGGCUCAGCAGGUUAAUGGGAGCAUGCAGUUCUGUGAGGGAUCCCAAUGCACUUGGAAAGCCAUCAGUAACCUUUUCCAUGUACCUGCACACAUGGGUCCCUGUUUUCCUUGGUGGCUCCUCCUACCCAGAACCUGCUGAAUAGGCCACUCUCUUGGCUGCAGCAAUGGAAUCAGAGAUGGAUACUUCCAAAGAUUGAGUGAUAUAAACUAUCCCAUACUCCAGCCAGAGGUGAAGAUUCAUCUUACAGGUCUUCGAAAUGACUAUUGUAUGUUAUUGUUGAGAUCAUGAAUUAAAACGCUGAAAUGACAGAAUGUAUCCUGUGCUGUAGCAUAAACUUGAAAUUUGAUUCUGGAAGAAGCAAAUGGCCUUGUGCCUCAUGCUUAAAUGGUGUACCAUCCGAAUAUGUUUACUACUGUGAGUUUCUCAUUGUAGAAUUUUCAUGUUCAGGAAUGGGCAUUGUUUGUCUUGGUGGGGCACAAGAAGCACACACUCUAAUAGAAUGAACUGUACAAAUGAUGACCUACUCCUAUGCUUAUAUUUUAAACGUGG
Molecule: long non-coding RNA, 1194 nt
Filed under: Capra hircus (goat)
Lineage: Eukaryota; Metazoa; Chordata; Mammalia; Artiodactyla; Bovidae
Description: lncRNA (ENSCHIG00000003830.1)
Source: RNAcentral